RNAcentral lists this ribosomal RNA (483 nucleotides) under Pseudoalteromonas sp. V3. Its description in RNAcentral is "bacterial SSU rRNA". It matches the Rfam family "Bacterial small subunit ribosomal RNA", at positions 1 to 483 of the family's 1533-position model. Lineage: Bacteria; Pseudomonadati; Pseudomonadota; Gammaproteobacteria; Alteromonadales; Pseudoalteromonadaceae. The record is from RNAcentral.
CCUCCUUUAGAGUUUGAUCCUGGCUCAGAUUGAACGCUGGCGGCAGGCCUAACACAUGCAAGUCGAGCGGUAACAUUUCUAGCUUGCUAGAAGAUGACGAGCGGCGGACGGGUGAGUAAUGCUUGGGAAUAUGCCUUAGGGUGGGGGACAACAGUUGGAAACGACUGCUAAUACCGCAUAACGUCUACGGACCAAAGGGGGCUUCGGCUCUCGCCCUUAGAUUAGCCCAAGUGGGAUUAGCUAGUUGGUGAGGUAAUGGCUCACCAAGGCGACGAUCCCUAGCUGGUUUGAGAGGAUGAUCAGCCACACUGGAACUGAGACACGGUCCAGACUCCUACGGGAGGCAGCAGUGGGGAAUAUUGCACAAUGGGCGCAAGCCUGAUGCAGCCAUGCCGCGUGUGUGAAGAAGGCCUUAGGGUUGUAAAGCACUUUCAGUAAGGAGGAAAGGUUAGUAGUUAAUACCCUGCUAAGCUGUGACGUACU